UCAAAACUCAGUCUGUGAAAUUUCUGGGGAAAACCCUUUUGUGUCCUGAAGGGUUCAAACUCUGUUGAGGAUCCAGUUAUCAGUUGCUCACCUGGAUGGUUCCAGAUCCCAAAGGGAAAGACUCUCGUAUCCUUGUCUUCAGGCUCGGUGCUGUCCACGAAGAUACGGAGACUAAAAAAAUCAUAAGAAGCAAAAUAUGACUGCAGGGAAAACAAGCUGGAGAGAACAAAAGACUCAUCACGGCGGGACAGCGUGAAGACUGAAAGUGUGAGAAGAUGUGGAGGGGAACAGAGAAUCUGAUGGGAGCAGCGAACGAGCAUGAGUGCAGGAGUUUUGCUUUUUGCUUGGAUGUAAACUCAGGGGUUGAAAGGAAUUUGGGAGUGAGAAGGGACAUUUCAGAAGGAGAAGAAGAAAAAGAGGUUGUUGUUGUUGUUACAGUCCUGGCAAAAUCUUUUG
Long non-coding RNA from Melozone crissalis (California towhee), 456 nucleotides. RefSeq lists it as uncharacterized. NCBI's taxonomy places the organism in Eukaryota, Metazoa, Chordata, Aves, Passeriformes, Passerellidae. The transcript has 3 exons. The record is from RefSeq and is a predicted model, not a curated record.